RNAcentral lists this ribosomal RNA (312 nucleotides) under uncultured bacterium. RNAcentral describes it as "partial 16S ribosomal RNA". It matches the Rfam family "Bacterial small subunit ribosomal RNA", at positions 28 to 409 of the family's 1533-position model. The record is from RNAcentral.
GACGAACGCUGGCGGCGUGCUUAACACAUGCAAGUCGAACGAGUGGCGAACGGGUGAGUAAAACGUGGGUGAACUGCCCUGCUCUUAGGGAUAAGCUUGGGAAACUGGGUCUAAUACCGGAUAGUGCAAGAUGAGCUCGCGGCCUAUCAGCUUGUUGGUGGGGUAAUGGCUACCAAGGCGCGACGGGUAGCCGGCCUGAGAGGGUGUACGGCCACAUUGGGACUGAGAUACGGCCCAGACUCCUACGGGAGGCAGCAAUGGGGAAGAUUGCACAAUGGGCGGAAACCUGAUGCAGCGACGCCGCGGUAAUAC